UGCACAUACCAUGCAUAUACCUCACUUGGAGAUAGGCAACAAAGAAGUCACCUCCCAUACUGGGAACUCUGGACCACAAUGUAGAAACUCCAUAGCUUCCUGUGCAGAUGAGCAGCCUCAUAUCGGAAACUACAGACUGUUUGAAAAUGAUCAGCAAGAGGAAUUUUGCAAAAGUGAAAUUGGCAUGACACAUCCUCACAGGCAGAGGGUUGCAAUAAAAAUAAUUGAUAAAACUCAGUUCAAUUCAACAAGUCUACAAAACCUCUUCAGAUAAGUAAGAACAAUGAAGAUUUUAAAUCGUCUAGAUAUAGUGAAAUUGUUCAAAGUCAUUGAAACUGAAAAAACAAUCUUCUUAAUCACGGAGUAUGCAAGUGGAGGUGAAGUAUUUGACUAUUUGGUUGCAUAUGGAAGAAUGAAGGAAGAAGAAGUAAGAGCUAAAUUUAGACGUAUGGUGUCUGCAGCACAGUACUGCCACCAAAAGCAGGUCAUUCACAGGGACCUCAAG
This 505-nucleotide long non-coding RNA is filed under the name Marmota monax (woodchuck). The record is from RNAcentral. Lineage: Eukaryota; Metazoa; Chordata; Mammalia; Rodentia; Sciuridae.